ACCUCUUUAGUAUAGUGGCAGUACAAGGCUCUUGUAAAGCUUAGACCCUGGUUCAAUUCCAGGAAGAGGCA
The sequence is a transfer RNA, 71 nucleotides long. It matches the Rfam family "tRNA". From Rfam's summary of the family: Transfer RNA (tRNA) molecules are approximately 80 nucleotides in length. The record is from Rfam.